GACGAACGCUGGCGGCGUGCCUAACACAUGCAAGUCGAACGGAAGUAUUUCUUCGGAGAUACUUUAGUGGCGAACGGGUGAGUAACGCGUGAGAAACCUGCCUUUCAGUGGGGGACAACAGUUGGAAACGACUGCUAAUACCGCAUAACACUUUAGAAUCGCAUGAUUCAGAAGUCAAAGCUUUAAGUGCUGAAAGAUGGUCUCGCGUCUGAUUAGCUAGUUGGUGAGGUAACGGCUCACCAAGGCGACGAUCAGUAGCCGGUCUGAGAGGAUGAACGGCCACAUUGGGACUGAGAUACGGCCCAG
RNAcentral lists this ribosomal RNA (306 nucleotides) under uncultured bacterium. RNAcentral's name for it is "bacterial SSU rRNA". It matches the Rfam family "Bacterial small subunit ribosomal RNA", at positions 28 to 334 of the family's 1533-position model. The record is from RNAcentral.